GGGAGAUAAUAUGCUACUUCCGGUCUCAUAUGAUAGCUUCUUUCACACUGAUUCCAAAAAUAUAUAGUUUCUAUAUACUUUUGCAUGUAGAAUGGGAGAUAAUUGGUUACUUCCGGUUUGUUGGAAGUCAUUUUUAUUCUUCAGUAAUCAGUUUAUGUAUCUAUAUGACAAAAUAUAUGGAUUCUGAGUACUUGUAUGUGAAAAAACUGCAAAAAAAGCUACUUCUGGUUUUCUCAAGGUCACUUCCGGUAGCCAUUUUUCAAGGUCAUUUGUCACUUAACCUUUUGUAUAUGGUCAAAUGUCUUUGUAAUGAACUUACUUGAAGAUAUAAUCAAAUAACCUCAUAUCAAGACAUUUCAGGGGCAACAACUCCUAUAAGAUGCCAUUUAUUUGUAUAAGACUAAAUGUAGCAUAUCUUCAUUACAAUUAAGCAGACAUUUUGCACUUGUUCUUUUUUAUGUAUCUCUCAAAGUGAGGGAGAAAAUGCAAAAACAAGCAAAAGUCACAAUUAAGAAUUUGACCUUGACCUUUGACCUUGACCUCAUUUUCUAAGUUAAGACCUAAGGGACUCAAAUAAAAACAUUCCAGGGUUAUACGGUUAACGGUUUAUGAGUUAAAAAAACAUACCGACAAAUUUAUUCUGUAAAGGUAGAUAACUCCUAUAAAAUUUCAUCAAAUCGCUUCGAUCCAAAUUAGCCAAAAAUUCCUGAGGAUUUGACGAACAAUGUGUAAAAAGAAUUUUGUCGAUAUCUUUUUUUGUUACGAAGGAGAUGCACACAGAUGAUAAACAGUGAAUAGGGAGAUAACUCUCACAAAGAAAAUGGUUCGGCUUAGCUGGGUGAAAUUUAAAAGCGCAUAAACUAUACAAUACAAUAUGAAAAAUAUCUAAGCGACAUAUUGCGAAACAAACAUUUAUCGCAAGAACAAAAUUUGGCGGAAAAAAAAAUAAUAAUCAGAAGAAAAACAAUAAGUCUUUCCACAGAAAAGUGGAAAGACUUAAUUACAAAGAAAAA
Molecule: long non-coding RNA, 1013 nt
Filed under: Mytilus galloprovincialis (Mediterranean mussel)
Lineage: Eukaryota; Metazoa; Mollusca; Bivalvia; Mytilida; Mytilidae
Source: RNAcentral